Chelmon rostratus (copperband butterflyfish) is the source of this 788-nucleotide non-coding RNA. Lineage: Eukaryota; Metazoa; Chordata; Actinopteri; Chaetodontiformes; Chaetodontidae. The record is from the annotation of a RefSeq genome assembly.
AUGUCGUGUGCUGACAUAGUAUGCGAGGAGCUUUGGAGGCUGUCCAGAUUUCUGCUGAUACCAGUGCAUCUCCUCAGCUCCACUGCUGUGUCUGUAAACAGGUUGGUUUACUUUACAGUGCAGGAGGUUUUUGUACGACCACUUCAUGAGUUUGUAUCACUGUGGUACACUUUUGGUGGAGGAACCAAACUCAUCAUUGACUCCGGCUCCAGGGUCAGGCCCUCGGUCUCUCUGCUUCCCCCCUCCUCCCAGCAGCUCUCCGGGGGCUCGGCCACGCUGGCCUGCCUGCUGAGCGGCUACUCUCCUCCGGGAGCCGUGGUGAGCUGGGAGGUGGACGGCGCGGAGGUGACGGAGGGGGUCCUGACCAGCUCAGAGGAGGAGAAGAGCGGACGCUACAGCAGCAGCAGCACCCUGAGCCUGAGCCAGGAGCGCUGGAUGGAAGGAGAGCUGUACUCCUGCAAGGUCCUCCAUCACGACCACAGCCAGACCCAGUCCCUCCACAGGAGCCAGUGUCAGGCCUAGAGGGGCUGGCUGAAGCCCAGGACGGGAGCUGUGUGGGGGGGGAGCAGGAGGAACACACCUGCUGCUCUCAGCAAUAUGACUUUUAAUGUUUGUAGAGGAAACUAAAGCUUUGUGUGACAGAGAACAGCACUGCUGUAAAGUGUUGGACAGCAACAACUUAGAGAGUAAUGUGUGUAGCUCAGCAGCGAGAUGUGAGUGUGCUUCAUAACUGUCAUGUUGAUGGUUGAUGUUUGUGCUAAUAAAGCUUGAACUGAUCAAUAACUUGA